CGCCGUCUGCACCAUUAAUAUCUAAGGAGGGAGGUUAAGUUAUUUUUGUCCCCGCUCUGCAACAAAAGGUGUGGACGGUUUAUUGAACUACAACUCAAAAGGCCUGUGGGAAGGUCCCUUGUUUUCUUCACUUCUUGUGGUAAGAUAUUUUAAGAACUUCUUGACAAACUCCACUGUAAGAGCUAAGCUCCAUUUAAUGUGUCUCUUCAUCUGUUUCUCAUAUAAUAUCGACUGUGAGCAGUUCAGUUACAAAGAUCGUGUAUAAGUCUAAUGAUUGCUUGCUUGGGAUUUUAGUUGUCCAUAAAUCUGCUGAAAUUAAAAUUAUCUAAAUCAAUAAUAGUGAUGAAAACAACAGAGGAAAUUAUACCCUGUCUAUUAAUGCGAUAUGUGAAUAUCUCAAGUUUAGGAUGCAUUGCUUAAAAUUCAGUAGUAAUAAUAAAAAGUGGUAAUACGUGCUAGUUUCUAAAAGCCCCAUGUACAACUGUGCAAAUGUAGGGGAAAUGCAAACCCUACUUGAAAAUGUUCACCAUCUAAAGUAAUGGACAAAGUGCAGGGUCUAUAAAACAUAACAGCUCCAUGAAUAUUUUUGUUUACCUGCAUUUUUAAAAGUGUGUAUUAGGAUCUGAUGAGCGGUGAAAAAGUGAGCAAGUAGAGGUGAGAUGGAAAAGUUUAUCCAUAGCUUUUUCCUCUUCAGUCACACAAUCUGAGUUUCAUAGAUUUUGUGAGGACUGAUGCAGCGGAAGAGGUAAAAAAGAUGUUCAGCUUUCAUCAAGGCAUUUUGUUCUUGCGAGGGAUGUUCAGAUUUACUUUCUAGGUCAGUGACUGCUUCACAAUAAACCAGUGCUUUUGAGCUACCUGCAGAAGCUGACUGCAAAAUUGCUAGGAUCACAAGUGUUUCACUCAACUGCACUCCAAACACUGUACAUAAUAAUAUUUCUGAAAAUGUUCCCUUCAUCUUGUAGUUCAAAUAUUAGCACUGCUGUUCAGGAUUGUGCUAAAGACCUCCUCAUCCGUGGGAUGGAUCCUGCCAAAAGAACAAGUGUGUCUGCCGAUAAGAGGGGUGGCAGGAACACUGGAGGAGAGAAACAGCAUCACGAGUUCAGUACACAGAGGCAGGUUUACAGCACUGCAAAUUCGGUUGGGUAAUUAAAUCAAAGAUCCUAGAUUUUAAAAUGAAACAUUCCAUAGCAGCCAAACAAGGUUUAACCAACUUUUUUUUUUUUAAAGUAAGUUUGAGGGAAUUUAAUUGCCCAAGUGUCCUGGAGUGCAAAGUGUUUUCCCUGUUUAAUCACUGAGUCUUUCUGGUUUAAGCAGCCCAUACAACAAAAUCAAAUUUGUUAGGUCUCCAGCAAGCUAACAGUUUUUGUAUCUAACAUUUUCCCUUUCAAAGACAAAGAGAUCCAGCUGAAUCCAAAAGACUCAGUUACAUGUAAACCAAAGCUGUCAGUGCAUCCUCAUCCAACCAGGAAGGUGAGAUCCAGUAAGCACAACUGUAAGAGCAGAGAGUACACGGACAAGUGAGCUGCUCCAGGUAUUGUGCAAAGUAGCAGAGGAAUGGAACUGGACACUAUCAGAAUUGUUCACAACUAGCAGAUGUGUUGCAAUAUAAUACUCCAAACUGAAUUUACUUAUGAACAAAAUAGCAAUCUAUCGCUGUAAUUUGCCAAUUAUCUUAAAACCAUCAGGAACACCAGGAAAUGGGGUAGUCCUGUCUGAAGACACAAUUAACUAAAUCUUGUGUCAUCCCAUUUUCAAGGGGCUGUUGGUGUUGAAAAUUCUUAGGCAAUCUUAGUGCUUCCCAAAAUUAACUGUUAGAAGAUCUCAGUAAGUGCAACUAAGUUUCUGUUCAAUACAGUCGUAUCAUUUAUGUUAAGAAAUUAUGUGAAGGCAUCCUUGUAACAUUAAUGAACUUGUCCUGGUUGGAACUAGAACUGAACCAAUUAGCUUUUUAGUAAUCUUGUCUUUCAGUUACAUCUCUUCUGAGUGUACUUUCAGAAAUCAAGAGCAUCUUUUUUCAGUGUCUGCUUCUAGGACUGAUGCUGCUUGAUAUUUCUAUGUACUGCAAAGGUAUGUAGUGGUAUUGCUUAUAUGUAUUCCUGUAAGUAAAACAAAGUUCACUGCUAAACUGCUACUCUGCUGUAAGUGAAAGGGAGUAAAAAGGGUCACAUCUGUGGGAGGAGUGAACUGGGCAGGUGACCCACAGCUGACCAACAAAGUAUUCCAUCUCAUAUGCAUCAUACUCAGUAUAAAGCUGAGGAACACGAGGAUCAAGCUCUCUUCGUCCAUGACCAGUGUCCAAGGAGGACUCUGUCCUUUCUUCUGCCUUUAAUCUUGAUCCAUGUGUUCCUGAACGCAGUUCCUGUCUGCCACUCUCCGGUCUGGAAGUUUUCCAGUGCCUGUGCUGCAGCAUUGGUGGUGACAAUCAUCAUCAGGAGAGAUUGAUGUAUAUGGGUGGUGACAGACUGAACAGCCGUCCAGUCCUUAUCUCUGAAGGAGCUGCAAAUUAUGAGAAAAUACUUGAGAUGUCGUGAAGGUGAGCCACUUAUCAGCUGGUUGCUUCAUCACUGGGAUACCAGGGCCAAUACCAUAAACUUGAAGGUAACUUAGAGAAGGCAAGCAGUUGGGAUACCUGCCCAGAGACAGAGGCAUUGAUGAGGCACUUGAGAGAAAGCCAGAUGCUCGAAGCCUCUGGAGGCAACUCUUGUUAGCCAUAAAGGGCAGGUUUCCCUUUAAGGACAAUAUUUUAUAUUGCUGGAGCAAAUGGACCACUGCAGAAUAAUGUGUUAGUAUCUGAGAGAAUCAGCUGUCCAAGGUAUUAUUUAUAGUGACCCACAGACAAUUAUACAUCCUGAAGAAAUGCCAUGCAACAUACAUACAUUGCAGAAGUUUGUGCAGAGCACACCAUUGACUUAUGCCUGCAUGUUGGCAACAUUGGUCUGGGAAGAAGGUGGCAAGACACUGUCUGUGGGUGAAAUGGCUGGCAAAGCACAGUGGUAUGAAGAUUGUCUCCCUGACCCCCUACAGGCCUCCAUCUCGGCCAUGGAAAAAAUGGCUGAGAAAUAAGAGAACUUAUUUGAAAAACUGUUUGAUAAACUGUCCGAUAGACUGUCCAGGGUGCAGAAUGGACCUAACUCUUCUCCUGCAUGGGCCCAUGCUGCAGCCAUUAGGAGAAGACAUCCUCCUGUGACACUGGCUCAAAAGAGGUGGAACACGACAUGAACUGCCCCAUGGUUUUUUCUAUGUGAUUAUGGAGAGGACAUCAAGAGAUGGGAUGGAAAACCUACAGCUGCCCUACAGGCAUGAGUGUGCAAAUUGCAAGAUAGAACAAAAACGAGAGCGUUUUUCCAGGAGGAUGGCUGUUCCAGUCUCAAGUGAGCAGUUCUCCAGCCAGAGUAGAUGGACUUCAGAUCCCCGAUGUGAUUAUUCCAGUCUGAGAGCCAUCUGAUACAAACAUCUCACUCUCUACCCAGGAAAUGAAGCAGAAGUGUACCUCUGUUGUGGUAUUUCUCAAAGCCUGUGUGUAAAAUUCCCCUCUACCUCUUUAAGUUUCAUGGGUCUUGUUCAGUUUUAUUAUACUUGGUAGCACACAGAGAAUCAGGAUGCACCUGCAAACUCACAGCACGUGAUACUUCCUUGAGCUGAAGGUUCCAAGUUGGCACCAUCCAUGGAGAAUGUUUCACGUAACAAUAGGCUGUUGUUCUUUCCAUUUCAGUGUACAUACAACUAGAGAUUCACCAACACAUAAAUAAAAGGCACUCUCAAAUAACCUCAAACUAUUUGUAUUUCAUGAAGGAAGAGGGGCAGAAUUGUUUGCAUAAUCUAAAAACUAAAUAUGAAGAACCUAAUGUGAAAGAUGUGUGAAUAAACCUUUUCAGUAAAUGCAAUUAAAGGUUUAUACUUGUUUACAAGUAUUUAACAAAAAGUAUUACAUGAUUUUGUCUUCAUGAAUGACCAUUACAUGAAUUUGUAUCAAAUGAUACACAUUAAUUAUAGCUAUC
Apus apus (common swift) is the source of this 3998-nucleotide long non-coding RNA. RefSeq lists it as uncharacterized. NCBI's taxonomy places the organism in Eukaryota, Metazoa, Chordata, Aves, Apodiformes, Apodidae. The transcript has 3 exons. The record is from RefSeq and is a predicted model, not a curated record.